GUCCUACGGGAGGCAGCAGUAGGGAAUCUUCCACAAUGGACGAAAGUCUGAUGGAGCAACGCCGCGUGAGUGAAGAAGGGUUUCGGCUCGUAAAGCUCUGUUGGUAGUGAAGAAAGAUAGAGGUAGUAACUGGCCUUUAUUUGACGGUAAUUACUUAGAAAGUCCCGGCUAACUACGUGCCAGCAGCCGCGGUAAUACGUAGGUGGCAAGCGUUUUCCGGAUUUAUUUGGCGUAAAGCGAGUGCAAGCGGUUGCAUAAGUUUG
RNAcentral lists this ribosomal RNA (263 nucleotides) under uncultured bacterium. Its description in RNAcentral is "partial 16S ribosomal RNA". It matches the Rfam family "Bacterial small subunit ribosomal RNA", at positions 335 to 591 of the family's 1533-position model. The record is from RNAcentral.